GACGAACGCUGGCGGCGUGCUUAACACAUGCAAGUCGAACGGAAAGGCCCUGCUUUUGUGGGGUGCUCGAGUGGCGAACGGGUGAGUAACACGUGAGUAACCUGCCCUUGACUUUGGGAUAACUUCAGGAAACUGGGGCUAAUACCGGAUAGGAGCUCCUGCUGCAUGGUGGGGGUUGGAAAGUUUCGGCGGUUGGGGAUGGACUCGCGGCUUAUCAGCUUGUUGGUGGGGUAGUGGCUUACCAAGGAUUUGACGGGUAGCCGGCCUGAGAGGGUGACCGGCCACAUAGGGACUGAGAUAGGGCCCAGACUGCUACGGGAGGCAGCAGUGGGGAAUGUUGCACAAUGGGCGGAAGCAUGAUGCAGCAACGCAGGGUGCGGGAUGACGGCCUUCGGGUUGUAAACUGAUUUCGCCUGUGACGAAGCGUGAGUGACGGUAAUGGGGAAAGAAGCACCGGCUAACUACGU
Molecule: ribosomal RNA, 467 nt
Filed under: uncultured bacterium
Lineage: Bacteria
Description: partial 16S ribosomal RNA
Rfam family: Bacterial small subunit ribosomal RNA
Source: RNAcentral